RNAcentral lists this small RNA (746 nucleotides) under Pongo abelii (Sumatran orangutan). Its description in RNAcentral is "retained intron". The record is from RNAcentral. Lineage: Eukaryota; Metazoa; Chordata; Mammalia; Primates; Hominidae.
CUGACUCGGAGUCUUAGUGUGUCGUUAUUUGGACAAGAGGCAAAUUGACCGAAUUUGGAGAAGUAUUUUGGAAAGAGGUGUGAAAAAGACAGCAUGAACUUUACCCCAACACACACCCCUGUCUGCAGAAAGCGAACAGUUGUCUCCAAACGUGGUGUUGCCGUCAGUGGUCCCACCAAGAGGAGGGGAAUGGCAGAUUCACUGGAGUCAACCCCCUUGCCUUCCCUCGAAGAUCGUCUGGCCAAACUCUGUCCUUCUAAGGAGCUCCUGGAAUAUUUUCAAAGGAAGAUGGCUGAGUGUGAGGCAGAAAAUGAGGACUUGCUGAAGAAACUGGAACUCUACAAAGAAGCUUGUGAAGGACAGCAUAAACUUGAAUGUGAUUUGCAGCAGAGGGAGGAAGAGAUUGCUGAAUUGCAGAAAGCUCUAAGUGAUAUGCAGGUCUGCCUCUUCCAGGAACGGGAACAUGUUUUACGCCUCUACUCAGAAAAUGACCAACUGAGAAUCAGGUACCAAAUAGGAGAAGGGAAAUGUCAGAGUUUAACUUUACAUUCAUUCAUUCAUUCAUUCAUUCAUUCAUUCAUGUAGAGGCAGUAUCACUCUAUUGCCCAGGCUGGAGUAUAGUGGCACUAUCUUGGCUCACUGCAGCCUCCACCUCCUGGUUCAAGCGAUUCUCAUGCCUCAGCCUCUCGAGUAGCUGGGACCACAGGUGUGCACUACAAUGCCUAGCUCAUUUUUGUAUUUUUAGU